CUUCGGGUCUAGUGGCGCACGGGUGCGUAACGCGUGGGAACCUGCCUUUAGGUUCGGAAUAACUUCCCGAAAGGGAUGCUAAUACCGGAUAAUGUCUUCGGACCAAAGAUUUAUCGCCUUUAGAUGGGCCCGCGUAAGAUUAGGUAGUUGGUGGGGUAAAGGCCUACCAAGCCGACGAUCUUUAGCUGGNCNGAGAGGANGAUCAGCCACACUGGGACUGAGACACGGCCCAGACUCCUACGGGAGGCAGCAGUGGGGAAUAUUGGACAANGGGCGAAAGCCUGAUCCAGCAAUGCCGCGUGAGUGAUGAAGGCCUUAGGGUUGUAAAGCUCUUUUACCAGGGAUGAUAAUGACAGUACCUGGAGAAUAAGCUCCGGCUAACUCCGUGCCAGCAGCCGCGGUAAUACGGAGGGAGCUAGCGUUGUUCGGAAUUACUGGGCGUAAAGCGCACGUAGGCGGCGAUUCAAGUCAGAGGUGAAAGCCCGGGGCUCAACCCCGGAACUGCCUUUGAAACUAGAUCGCUAGAAUCCUGGAGAGGUGAGUGGAAUUCCGAGUGUAGAGGUGAAAUUCGUAGAUAUUCGGAAGAACACCAGUGGCGAAGGCGACUCACUGGACAGGUAUUGACGCUGAGGUGCGAAAGCGUGGGGAGCA
RNAcentral lists this ribosomal RNA (651 nucleotides) under bacterium L12(2011b). RNAcentral's name for it is "bacterial SSU rRNA". It matches the Rfam family "Bacterial small subunit ribosomal RNA", at positions 84 to 770 of the family's 1533-position model. The record is from RNAcentral.